Molecule: small RNA, 125 nt
Filed under: Marmota monax (woodchuck)
Lineage: Eukaryota; Metazoa; Chordata; Mammalia; Rodentia; Sciuridae
Source: RNAcentral
GCUGGGCACAGUGGCGCAUGCCUGUAAUCCCAGUGGCGCUGGAGGCUGAGGCAGGAAAAUCGCGAGUUCAAAGCCAGCCUCAGCAAAAGCAAGGUGCUAAGCAACUCAGUGAGACCCUGUCUCUA